AGUGCUGUUGAAUUCAUGUUAAAAUGAAUCAUUCAUUAUUUAUGCUAAAUAGUUUAGGUAAAAACUUUAAAUGAGUAAACUCAUGUGUGUGUUAUAAGAUUAAACACGGGUUAAUUUCAUAAUGUUUUUAUAAGUUUGUUUUAUCAGCGCUGUUAUGUUUCAGCUAGGAACCAAUGUUUGUACUUGUGUACCACUAGGGUAAAUUAAUCGAUGCUACACUCUAAAAACUAGAUUGCAAAGCCUGAUCCAAGCGUGUCAAGAACCUCUCUUCAUGACAAGCGGCUAAUGAGGUAUUAUUAUUUGUUUAGUGAUGCAUUUGUUUAUACUUGUGCAGCGCAGCAUUCUGCUCUUAUUUGUACUUGGACACUGUUUGUUUGAGCUGAUUUAUAUAUUUGUGUCUGUACAGUUCUCACGGCAUGAAAGUAUAAACGCCAUUAAGCGUGCAAAUGGAGUGUCAUGUUAAACGACAUGAGAGAAAGGACGAAAUAAAUGCCAGUUAAAGAGAAACCGAUCCGUGUCUGUCGUGACGAGAGCUACAGUGAGAACUCACCUGCUCAACACGGGUAGGAGAGAUAGAAGGAACGACGCAACUUCGCGACGGAGGUCCAGAGCGUCCGGUGCAUCCCGCGCAUUCGGCGCGUCGGAAAAGAAGCCUCCGGUGCAUCCCGCGCAUUCGGCGCGUCGGAAAAGAAGCCUCCGGUGCAUCCCGCGCAUUCGGCGCGUCGGAAAAGAAGCCUCCGGUGCAUCCCGCGCAUUCGGCGCGUCGGAGAAGAAGCCUCCGGUGCAUCCCGCCCAUACGGCGCAUCAGAGAAGUAAAGCCCAUAAACAUAGUCGGCAUAGCAACAAGAAGCUAAAGGGAAUAUACUGAGUCGAAAGUGCAACUUUUCAAAGAAAAGCCAGCAAGUGCUCCGCCAGUCUUCAAGUUAGUGGUGAGAGAAUUGGCUCAAGAUUAAAGCUGCAAUCAAGGACUCAGGUAUUUUUACCAAUUAAGAACACACGUUUUGGGAAAAUCUGAUGUGAAGACGUUUGCAACGGAUGAGUGUCAAAAGGGAUAAAGAUUCAAAUUGACGUCAUUCUAAGUGAAUAUUAAGAAUUGUGUAUUUGUGUUUUAUUAUCACAAAGGUUAAAGGGACACUAAGUUGAAGCUAAAAGCGUGGAUGUUGAAAUAUUUGUCUAAAUACAUACCCUUGUUCUAUUUAAAGUAAGAUAUAAGUUUGAUAAGUUGCUAAUUCUAAACAGCUCUUUGAUGCCAUUUGUGUUUAGAAAUUGAGCUAAGCAGACUUGCAAGGUUGCAUGCAGUGGUUGAGAACCUUAGUAGUUAUUCACAUUCAAGCUCACUGUACUUUGCUUUGACACAUAGUCCCAUAGAAAUCCAAGUUAAGACAUCAGACAUAUCACAUAAUCAUUUAAGCUAUUUUAAAAAUGUCUGACACAAACACUGAGUCCUGCCAUAAAGAUACAGGAUUACAUGCUGAACCUGAAACCACAUUGAGUGAAUCAGCAGAAGUAAAAAAGCUACGAAGAAGUGAAAGAGUUCGAACUCUCACAGAAAAGGGAAAGGAACUUGAAGAGGAAAGGCUAAAGACCUUACAACGUCGAUUUAAAAUUACCUAUGAGAAGUGGAGGUACCAUGCAAGAGUAGGAAAGGAAAUAUUGUCUGACACUGUCUCAGAAGAUGACAUAAAUGAGCUAACAGAAGCUAUUAAAGUUACGUGUUCUGCAGUUAAAUCUAUCUAUGAAGAAUUACGUAGAGUGCAAUCACCUGAACCAGAUGUACGACGAAAGGUUGAUGCAUGUGUAUCCCUCUCAGAGCAUAUUAUUCUAAAAGCACAAAGACAACUCUCAGGACAUCCAGUGACUGAAGGAGAUGAAGAAUGGCCUGAUUUUGGAUCAAUCCUACAUUCCACAAGUUCUCGAUCAAGGUCUCAUCAUUCAAAGCAUAGUUCUGCUAGCUCUAGCAUCUUCUCAGUCAAAAGAAAUGAGGCUGUAGCUGAAGCUGCAGCUGCUCAAGAAGUUCUAGCAGUGUUAGAUGAGCAAGAUAAAGAAACAACAGAACUACAAAGACUAGAAGCUGAAGAUAAAAAACGACUAGCACAGUUUGAAUCUGAGAAGCUAGCUAGACAGCAAGCUAUUCAAGAACAGCGUAGAAAGCUUGAUCGCCUUGAAGAAGUUAAGAAGCUAAACGCUGCAAGAGCUCGAGCAAAAGUCUAUGACCAAGCUGGAAUAUGCGGCACACUUAACUUACUAAAUGAUGUUGAAUCAGCAGUGGAUUUUCAAAGUUCUGAUCCACUACCCGUUCCUCAGCCAGUCACAACCCAAACUCUUCAUGUUUCAAGUCCACCUUUCAUUCCACAAUCACAUCCAGUCAUAACCCAAACCCUUCCUGCCUCAAGCUCCCCAUUUGUUCCCCAGUUCCCACCAAACACAAGUCAAGUUCACCUCCAAGCCCUGCAGCCCACAUCACAGGUUCCAAUGAUACAGCCACACACAAUACAGGUGCAGAACAGCUCAGAUGUUGCUUUGGUCAGUGCACUAGCAGAAGCUAUUAGUGCCAAUCGUCUUCCCACACCAGAGCCUUCAAUAUUUACUGGUGAUCCUUUAAGGUUUAACGAUUGGCGACUGUCAUUUGUAACAUUAAUUGACAGAAAGAACAUUCCCAAGAAUGAAAAAUUGUACUACCUAAGACAGUAUCUAGGUGGCAUUGCAAAGAAGGCAGUGGAAGGAUUUUUCCUACUAGGUACAGAAGCAGCAUACGACUCAGCCUGGCAACUCUUGGAAAAACGCUUUGGAGACCCAUUCAUAAUAGGGAAGUCUUUCAGAGACAAGUUACAUGGAUGGCCAAAAAUCAGCUCCAAAGACGGCUCUGAAUUAAGAGAGUUUGCAGACUUCCUUCGGAGUUGUGAAGCUGCAAUGCCCCACAUCAAAACAUUAGAAGUCCUAAAUGACUGUAACGAAAGUCAGAAAAUUCUAUUGAAACUGCCAGACUGGUUAGUGUCUAGUUGGAACCGCAAGGUAAUGGAAAGCAGACUAGCAGAUGCCAGAUACCCAUCAUUCAAAGAGUUGGUUGACUUCCUGUCAAAGGAAGCAGAUCUCGCUUGUGAUCCCAUCUCAUCCAUUCAAGCAGUCAAGAGGAUAGAAGCGGAAAGACAAAGGCAAGACCGUGGUCGAACUAUCCAAGCAAAGACACUGUCUACAAACACAACGCAACACAACAUCCCUUCAUGUGAUUUCUGCAAAAGAACAGGCCAUACCCUAGCCAACUGUAGGAAGUUUUGUGAAAAGACAGUUCAAGAUCGGGUUAAGUUUGUUCAGACAGAAAGGCUUUGCUUUGGAUGCUUGAAGACAGGUCAUCACUCUAGAAAGUGUGAAAACAGAAGUACAUGUGAAAAAUGUCAGAAAAAACAUCCAACAUGUUUACAUGUCGACAAGUUUUCAGAACGUCAAACAUUCAGAACUCCAAAGGGGGACGACAACUUAAAGGACAAAGCAGUAACCAAAGAAACAGUUUCAACAGGAACAACUAAUAGAGUCAUACAGGCAGGUCUAAGUACACAGACAUCCCCAAUCGUGCCAGUUUGGGUCUCAUCCAUAAAGCAGCCUGAUCAAGAAAUUCUGGUCUAUGCUCUUCUAGACACGCAGAGCGACACAACUUUCAUUCUGGAUGAAGUGGCUCAUGACCUCGACACAAGAAAGGAAAAUGUUUGUUUGCGGCUGUCUACUAUGUCUAACAGGUCAACAGACAUACCUUGUCAAAAACUGACAAAUUUGCAAGUCAGGGGAUUUAACCUAGACAAAAGAAUCCCAUUGCCACCACUUUUCACAAGAGAGUUCAUUCCAGCAGACAGAACACAUAUUCCAACUUCCCAGACAGCUCAAAGGUGGCCUCAUCUAGAACAACUAGUUGACAAGAUCCCACCACCAUUAGAUUGUGAAAUAGGCCUUCUGAUUGGUUACAACUGUCAACAAGCCCUCCUUCCAAGAGAAAUCCUGUCUGGUGAAGAAAAUUAUCCCUAUGCUCAGCGUACAGAUCUUGGAUGGAGCAUCAUCGGUUGCUUUAGUGCAGCUAGUGAUUGCAGUGAUGCAAUAGGAACAAGCCACAGAGUCAUAGUACAUCAAGUGACACCUACCAUCCAACCUGCAUUAACAUUAAGAAGAGAAGUGCACUUUGUAUGCAAAACCCAUGUCAAAGAAAUCAAUUCAAUAGACAUAAUCAAAGCUCUUGAAUCUGAUUUCACAGAACACACCACAGAUGACAUAAUGGUUUCACAGGAAGACCUUCUCUUUUUGUCUAAAAUGAAGGAAGGCAUCAAGCAGAUGGAAGAUGGCUACUUUGAACUCCCGCUUCCUCUCAAGACAGUUAAACCUGAUCUUCCAGACAACAAACUCUGUGCAGUUCACAGACUCUCUGCUUUAGAACGACGACUGAGGAAGAAUGAGCAGUAUUUCAAGGAUUAUGUCCAUUUCAUGAAUGACAUAAUCACUAGAGGAGAUGCUGAGAAGGUUCCCCAAGCUGAACUUGAGAACAAACCAGCGUGGUACAUUCCACACCACGGAGUAUAUCACCCCCAUAAGCCUGGAAAAAUCCGCGUGGUUUUCGACUGUUCAGCACGCUUUCAAGACACCUCUCUAAAUGAAAAUCUCUUGACUGGACCAGACCUGACUAACACAUUAGUUGGGGUCUUAUGCAGAUUCAGAAAAGGGUCAAUAGCUAUAAUGUGCGACGUAGAAAGGAUGUUCCACCAGUUUCGAGUAGCAAAGAAGCAUCAAGACUAUCUCAGGUUCCUCUGGUGGGACAAUGGUGAUCUAAAUUCAAAACCCUCAGUCUACCGGAUGAAAGUGCACCUCUUUGGGGCAGCUUCAUCCCCUGGUUGCUCCAACUUCGGAUUCAAACAUCUCGCUUCUCAGGGCCUUGGGAGGUUCAGUGAGGAGUCUGUCAAGUUCAUACAACGAAGCUUUUAUGUAGAUGAUGGCUUAAUAAGUGUUGACUCACCAGGUGAAGCCAUCAAUCUGAUUGAGGAGUCAAGAGCCUUGUGCAGAACAGGAAAUCUUCGGCUGCACAAGUUUGUAUCCAAUAACAAGGAAGUACUUGCCACAAUACCACCUGAAGAAUGCGUGCAAACCAAAGAUCUAGACAUGACCCUCGGAGAACCUCAUAUUGAGCGAGCACUCGGUGUUGAAUGGUGCAUCGAAGCAGAUGAAUUUCAGUUCAGGGUUGUGGUGAAGGAGAACCCACUGACAAGAAGAGGUGUUCUCUCGACUGUUGCAUCCGUUUAUGACCCUUUAGGAUUCGUAGCCCCUUUCAUAUUGGUUGGCAAAAAGAUCCUUCAGGAGUUAUGCAGAGACAAAGUAAGUUGGGACGAAGAUCUCCCUGAUCACAUUCUGUCAAGAUGGGAGUCAUGGCUUAAAGAUCUGCCUCAUUUAGCUGCCUUGAAGAUCCCAAGAAGCUAUUGUCCACCAACCUUUGGAAAGGUCAAGCACUAUGAACUUCACAACUUCUCAGAUGCAAGUUUCGAUGGAUAUGGUGCAUGCUCGUACCUCAGAGCAACGAGUGAAACAGGAGAAAUCAGUUGCUCACUUGUCAUGGGGAAGGCGAGGGUAGCUCCAACCAAAUUAAUGACUAUCCCGAGACUUGAACUGUCAUCAGCUGUCACUUCAGUCCGUAAUGGCAAAGUCCUCAAGAAAGAGCUUGAGAUAGAAAAUCUUAAAGAGUAUUACUGGACUGACUCAAAGGUGGUUCUUGGUUAUGUGAACAACGACGCCAAGAGAUUCCACACGUUUGUCGCUAACCGGAUUCAGCAUAUAAGAUCUAACACUAAUCCUGACCAGUGGCGAUAUGUCAGCUCUGAAAUGAACCCAGCCGACUGCGCCUCUAGGGGGCUAAGUGGAGUCCAGUUGAAAGAGUCCAAUUGGCUGCAAGGACCAGACUUUCUGUGGCAGCAGCAUCCAUUACCUCAAGAGGAAAUGGUGGGAGAAAUCGAAUCAACUGACCCUGAGCUUCGUAAAUCUUAUGUUCAGGCAGUAAAUACAAAGGAGAAGGGAUCAGUGGUGAAUCGUCUCACUAAAUUCUCCGACUGGUCUAGAGCAGUGAAAGCUGUCGCUAGGCUCAAGAGACUUAUUAGAGUGUUUAAAGGUGUUCAGCCAAGAACAAAUGACUCAACCAGUCUCGAAGAACAAAGAGAAGCAGAAAUCUUUAUCAUCAGAUUGGUGCAAGAGGAAGCUUUUCCUGAAGAUAUACAAAAAUUGAAGUUCCAGAAACAAUGCUCUCUGAGCAAACACAACAAGUUACAUCAGUUGAAUGCUUUCUUGGAUGAAAACAACAUUCUCAGGGUGGGAGGACGCCUGUCUGAAGCAGCUUUACAUCAUAAUGUGAGGCACCCUGCCAUACUUCCAAAGAAAUCUCAUGUAUCAUCCUUGCUUGUUAAGCAUCAUCAUGAGCGGAUCUUUCACCAAGGGAGAGGCAUGACAAUGAACGAGCUUCGUGCAAACGGGAUAUGGAUCAUAGGUUGUGGAAACAUGGUCUCCUCACACAUUCACAAAUGUGUGAAAUGUAGAAGAUACAGAAGAAAAACUGAGGUUCAACAAAUGUCAGAUCUGCCGAAAGAAAGAACCAAGACCUCUCCUCCCUUCACUUAUUGUGGUCUAGAUUGCUUUGGUCCCUUUAUUGUGAAGGAGGGAAGAAAGGAAUUGAAACGAUACGGGUUGUUGUUUACCUGUUUGUGUUGCAGAGCGGUUCACAUAGAGUUACUAGAUGACUUAACUACAGAUGCUUUCAUGAAUGCACUAAGAACAUUCAUCGCCAUCAGAGGACCUGUGCGCCAACUGAGAAGCGAUCAGGGAACAAAUUUUGUGGGUGCCAGGAGAGUGUUUUCUGAGUUAUUAAAAGGAAUGGAUCAAGAACAACAAAGAAAGAUUGGCUGUGAAUUUGUGAUGAACGUUCCAUCAGCGAGUCAUAUGGGCGGCGUAUGGGAACGUCAAAUCCGAACGAUUCGAAGCAUCCUGACAGCCAUGCUCGACAAAUCUGCAAGCAGACUUGAUACCACAACUUUGAGGACCUUUCUAUAUGAAACAAUGGCUAUAAUCAACAGCAGGCCUCUGAGUGUUGAACAUCUUCAUGAUCCAACCGGUCCAGAACCUCUCACACCAAAUCAUAUAUUGACCAUGAAGUCAUCAGUUAUCCUGCCUCCACCUGGAAAGUUCUGUGCAGAAGACCUUUAUCUGAGUAAAAGGUGGAGAAGAGUGCAGUUUCUAGCCAAUGAAUUCUGGCAAAGAUGGAAGCGUGAAUAUUUACUAAAUCUCCAACUAAGGCAGAAGUGGCAAAGACAAUCACGAAACUCACAAGUAAAUGAUAUAGUGAUCCUGCAAGAUGACAACUCACCAAGAAACGAAUGGAAGCUUGGCAAAGUCGUAGAAGUUCAGCCCAGCACAGACGGCAUGGUGAGAAAGCUGAAGCUACUUGUCAGUGACACCACAUUUGAGAAAGGAAAACUACAUACCAGAGCUACUUACCUUGAGAGGCCCAUCCACAAAGUAGUUACCUUAAUAGAAGCCAAAUAAGUUAUACACAUAACUUCACAUUCAUACAUACACAUUCACUUUUCUACACUCACUCAAGGUUUGUCUUAGAAAUCUCUCAAUUUAAGUUAAUGAGUGAUUUGGUGGGAGUGUAAGUGCUGUUGAAUUCAUGUUAAAAUGAAUCAUUCAUUAUUUAUGUUAAAUAGUUUAGGUAAAAACUUUAAAUGAGUAAACUCAUGUGUGUGUUAUAAGAUUAAACACGGGUUAAUUUCAUAAUGUUUUUAUAAGUUUGUUUUAUCAGCGCUGUUAUGUUUCAGCUAGGAACCAAUGUUUGUACUUGUGUACCACUAGGGUAAAUUAAUCGAUGCUACACUCUAAAAACUAGAUUGCAAAGCCUGAUCCAAGCGUGUCAAGAACCUCUCUUCAUGACAAGCGGCUAAUGAGUUCUCACGGCAUGAAAGUAUAAACGCCAUUAAGCGUGCAAAUGGAGUGUCAUGUUAAACGACAUGAGAGAAAGGACGAAAUAAAUGCCAGUUAAAGAGAAA
RNA transcript from Fundulus heteroclitus (mummichog), 8057 nucleotides. RefSeq lists it as uncharacterized. The record is from RefSeq and is a predicted model, not a curated record. The transcript is spliced from 2 exons. NCBI's taxonomy places the organism in Eukaryota, Metazoa, Chordata, Actinopteri, Cyprinodontiformes, Fundulidae.